GUGAAGAACGUAGUGAAAUGCGAUAAGUAGUGUGAAUUGCAGAAUUCAGUGAAUCAUCGAAUCUUUGAACGCACAUUGCGCCCCUUGGUAUUCCAUGGGGCAUGCCUGUUCGAGCGUCAUUUGUACCUUCAAGCUUUGCUUGGUGUUGGGUGUUUGUCUCGCCUUUGCGUGUAGACUCGCCUUAAAAUAAUUGGCAGCCGGCGUAUUGAUUUCGGAGCGCAGUACAUCUCGCGCUUUGCACUCAUAACGACAGCGUCCAAAAGUACAUUUUACACUCUUGACCUCGGAUCAGGUAGGGAUACCCGCUGAACUUAAGCAUAUCAAUAAGCGGAGGA
Molecule: unclassified non-coding RNA, 335 nt
Filed under: soil metagenome
Description: partial contains 5.8S ribosomal RNA, internal transcribed spacer 2, and large subunit ribosomal RNA
Rfam family: 5.8S ribosomal RNA (bases 2-119)
Source: RNAcentral